GUUUGGCACAAGACUUCCCGAGCAGGACAUGUAACCCACAAAAUUUAGCCAGUGUCCAGGGCUUCUCACAGCUUUGCUUCUUGUGAGAUUAAACGAAGAUGGUCUUAAAAUGGUUUUACCACAAGAAAACUUCCCCACAAGGAAUACACCUGUUGUCUUCCCCUGAGGCCUCACACUGCCACUCUGAGGAGUUUACAACUAAAUGAUAGAUCCAGAUGGUUUACCACAGAUCAUGGGGAGACAAUACAGAUUUGUUUAGAGAAGAAGUCCUCUGCAAGUCUUUAACUCAAGGGAUAGACUAAUGGACUGUAAGCCAUGAAUCCUCACCUGAUGAAAGGUCUUGAGAUGGCCAAGACGGUCCGGAUGAACCACGUUGGCACUUCUUCAGCCAGCUGAUGCCGGGCAUCUUCCUGCGAGGAGUUGCUCCGUUCAGGUACGGUCUGAUGACCUGCAUAUCAAUCCGCUGCUCCUGGUCACCAAUGAUCACUGUUCGCCACAGACGACCAGAUGAGUCUCUCUCCUCUUCACUUUCACCUGGAAGACGCUUGGCAGUGGCCACAGGAGUGUCGUCUAGACACAAGUUGGCAGCAAUUUGUGACUGGACAGCCAGAGGAAGAUGACGUGUGACGCCUGAGGCAGGGCUCAAAUCAAGGACACUGCAGCUCGUUGCCAUUGUUGAUAAACUCCAGCGAAUCUGUCUCAUCAGGAGUCUCGAUGUCGUCUACGUUGAUGUCCAGGUCAUCGGGCGUUUCCAGAAACUCAUCAGAGAGCACGGACCCCUCGCUCUGAUCCAGAGAG
This is a long non-coding RNA of Epinephelus lanceolatus (giant grouper), 798 nucleotides long. RefSeq lists it as uncharacterized. Lineage: Eukaryota; Metazoa; Chordata; Actinopteri; Perciformes; Serranidae. The record is from RefSeq and is a predicted model, not a curated record.